This 386-nucleotide ribosomal RNA is filed under the name uncultured prokaryote. RNAcentral describes it as "bacterial SSU rRNA". It matches the Rfam family "Archaeal small subunit ribosomal RNA", at positions 339 to 725 of the family's 1478-position model. The record is from RNAcentral.
GCGCGAAAACUUUACAAUGCUGGCAACAGCGAUAAGGGAACCUCGAGUGCCAGGUUACAAAUCUGGCUGUCGAGAUGCCUAAAAAGCAUUUCAUAGCAAGGGCCGGGCAAGACCGGUGCCAGCCGCCGCGGUAACACCGGCGGCUCGAGUGGUAACCGUUAUUAUUGGGGCUAAAGGGUCUGUAGCCGGCCGGAUAAGUCUCUUGAGAAAUCUGGCAGCUUAACUGUCAGGCUUUCAGGGGAUACUGUCUGGCUCGAGUGCGGGAGAGGUGAGAGGUACUUCAGGGGUAGGGGUGAAAUCUUGUAAUCCUGGAAGGACCACCAGUGGCGAAGGCGUCUCACCAGAACGGACCUGACGGCAAGGGACGAAAGCUAGGGGCACGAACC